Molecule: long non-coding RNA, 1599 nt
Organism: Trichomycterus rosablanca
Lineage: Eukaryota; Metazoa; Chordata; Actinopteri; Siluriformes; Trichomycteridae
Exons: 3
Source: RefSeq, a predicted model, not a curated record
UCAAUGACUUAUAAGGCAGGUUAUUCGAACGCACUACUUAGACAGCAAUUCCAUCGGGUUUCGCAUUUCGCGUUUAGCAUCUUGCCAUUAAAACCAAUAAACUGAGGUAGCACAGCACGCUAACGUCAAUAUAACAUCUUCCUUCAUGUACCGAUAACGGUUACAUUUCCUGACAAGCCCGAACUUGCAAAUAAAAACACUCGGUACACGUUUAUACAAGUUAAAUCAGUAAUAUUUUAUUUACGCUUGAAAAUAACAUUCGUUUGUCCGCCCCGUCAGCCAUGUUUAUCUUUCUGUGAGAGAAGAACGCCCGACCCGAAAUGAAUGCUGGGAUUGCCUCGAUCACUAAGGACGCUUCCGAUGCUCACUUGUUCUUGAGCCAAAAUAACAUUGAAAUAAUAAGAUGCCUCAGAAGUGAGGAUUUUAAGGCAUCUAGGAUUUCGAACAGCCUCAUUCUCGGGAGCGCAGCACAGGAUGACGUAAAAUGCUGCCUAUGUAGACAGCACACUAGCUUUUCGAACACACCCACUGUCUGACUUUUUUAUCGGGUAAAAUGUCCCGCAGCCAAACAGAACCCUCAAAGUUGGGCCUCGAGCCUGCGAAACACGUGGCCGGUACCCCUGAGGGAGAAGUGGACAUCCGCCUGAUUCCGUGGUCAGCGCUUCACUGCUGCAAACUGCGAUGGACACGCUAAAGUCCGACAUUUGUAGCAGACUUGAUUCCUUCUCUUCUGGUCUUCGGACGGAAAUCACGGCUGUUAAAUUAAAACUCUCCAACUUGGUUAAUCCCUUACAACAAAAACUGGACUCGCAUGAUGAAACGCUGCGGGAACUGUAGCGCUGCGCUAAUGAUAACAGUACACAAGCGGCUAUUGUCAAACUCACCACCCAAGGCAAACGCCUCGAGGACAGAUGUGAGGACCCUGGGGCACUCUCGCGAAAAAGUCAUUCGUGAAUAAGUCCCAGAAGGAUCGGAGGGAGCUGGGGUUUCGGACUUUGCUUCAAGACGUGCUCGGACUCGACGAGAAACCACUGCUGGAUCGGGCACAUGGAACCCUCCGUGCAAAACCCAAAGAAACUGAGACGUUCAGGAAACUGAACUCAAAUAGCCUAUUGUUCUGUGCGCUCUGUACCAGGGGAGGAUGAACGUAAGCAACCUAAUUUCCUGAGAAAUGAGCUGGAAAAUGAAACAAUGCAUCCAGAUGUUUCCUGUUUAACUACACAGAGAGUGUGAGGGACGGUUGAACAGGAACCGACAAGCCUUGCAUUUCUGCUGUGUGUGCCCAAAGAAGAACAUUCUUGCUCAGCUGACUCAUAAGAAAACUUGAUUGACAAGUACUAGAGAAGGAGGAGUCAGCUUUAUAAAAAAGGAACUGCACACCCACAGGGGAUGAGACUUCUGCAUGCAGCUGCAGAACAAGAUCAGCAUCUUACAAACACAUCAGCGGCUGAAGCUUUUUCUUCUUACUCAAGUAUCUCUGCAGACCGGGGAACCUUCUUCUUCUUCUUCUGUGAUUUUUAUUGGCAGUUUGCAUUCUUUGUGCAUUACCGCCAUCCACUGGACUGAUGUGUGAUCACUUUAGGACUUCAUGUUAAUAAA